This 458-nucleotide ribosomal RNA is filed under the name uncultured bacterium. RNAcentral's name for it is "partial 16S ribosomal RNA". It matches the Rfam family "Bacterial small subunit ribosomal RNA", at positions 338 to 795 of the family's 1533-position model. The record is from RNAcentral.
CCUACGGGAGGCAGCAGUCGAGAAUCAUUCACAAUGGGGGAAACCCUGAUGGUGCGACGCCGCGUGGGUGAAUGAAGGUCUUCGGAUUGUAAACCCCUUUCAUGUGGGAGCAAAAGACGCCACGCGUGGCGUUCCGAGAGUACCCGAAGAAAAGCAUCGGCUAACUACGUGCCAGCAGCCGCGGUUAUACGGGGGAUGCUAGCGUUAUCCGGAUUUAGUGGGUUUAAAGGGUGCGCAGGCGGAAGAUCAAGUCAGUGGUAAAAGUGAGGGGUUAAACCUCUUCGAGCAGUUGAAACUGGUUUUCUUGAGUGAGUGAGAAGUAUGCGGAAUGCGUGGUGUAGCGGUGAAAUGCAUAGAUAUCACGCAGAACUCCGAUUGCGAAGGCAGCAUACCGGCGCUCAACUGACGCUCAUGCACGAAAGUGUGGGUAUCGAACAGGAUUAGAUACCCUGGUAGUC